RNAcentral lists this unclassified non-coding RNA (246 nucleotides) under fungal sp. Its description in RNAcentral is "partial internal transcribed spacer region". The stretch from base 1 to 46 matches the Rfam family "Eukaryotic small subunit ribosomal RNA", at positions 1786 to 1831 of the family's 1831-position model. Lineage: Eukaryota; Fungi. The record is from RNAcentral.
AAGUCGUAACAAGGUUUCCGUAGGUGAACCUGCGGAAGGAUCAUUACCAAAACUUAGCUGCUCCAGUUUAGGCUGGUUGCACGCUUCAACCCUUUGUGAACCAAAAAUCUUUACGCUUCGGCAGCAGGCCUUACAGCUGUAAGCCUGCCGAUAGCACCAAUUUAAACUUUGUUUGUAAAAAUAUUGUCUGAACAAACCAUUUUCGAAUGAAAAUUAAAACUUUCAACAACGGAUCUCUUGGUUCUC